RNAcentral lists this long non-coding RNA (325 nucleotides) under Lathyrus oleraceus (garden pea). RNAcentral's name for it is "Pisum sativum (pea) long non-coding RNA (PSAT_LNC018625)". The record is from RNAcentral. Lineage: Eukaryota; Viridiplantae; Streptophyta; Magnoliopsida; Fabales; Fabaceae.
UUUAAUAUUGAUUAAAUAAAGGAACUAAAAUGGGAAUUGUCAAAGAGGGGUCAAAGUAUCAAACAAAAGUCCAACAAAAAUGUGAGAGGUCAACAAAAUUCAGAUGGACCUCAAAAGUUGGGGUUAAAAAUAUUUAAAAAUGAAUAAAAUAAAAAUACAAAAAGAAAAUUAAAUAAAAAAUAAAAUAAAAAAUGCAUUUAAUGCAAAAACGAUUUUAAAAAAAUGCAAAAAAUGGUAUGAGGUAAAAAAUAUUAUGGAAAAAAUUUGGAGUGAAAAAUGAUAAGGGAACUAUUUUUAAUUAAUUUUGGAAGAUAAUGAAAUUAAA